Onychomys torridus (southern grasshopper mouse) is the source of this 4896-nucleotide RNA transcript. It is a transcript of the gene named selenophosphate synthetase 1, with no coding region annotated. Lineage: Eukaryota; Metazoa; Chordata; Mammalia; Rodentia; Cricetidae. The transcript has 10 exons. The record is from RefSeq and is a predicted model, not a curated record.
CAGGCUUAAAGGGGAAUAUCGGGCCGCAGGCCCGGCGCGGCCGUUGCAAAUCCCCCUCCGGGCCGCCCGGGACGGCCGGGGAGCCGUGCACCGGGGCCCUUCGCGCGCCCUGCCUGGAGAGGGGCCGAGCCCAGGGUUUGGUGGGGCCGCUUUAAAAAAGAAGCGCCGCCCGCGCCGCUGCCUCCUCCGCCGUCGCCGCCGCCGCAGCACGCGGGGCCGGGGAAGGAGGGAGGAGCGGAGGGGGAGGGCGGCGGCGGCCACGCAGGGGUUAAUCUUUUCGCCCGCCGACAUUUUUGUGUGGCGGCGCGGACGGGGAGCCCGCCCGCCCGCGCGCGCGCGCGCAGCGCCCUAGCCGCCGGUGUCCUGGCGCUGCGCCUUGGGCCUCCCCCGCCCCCACUCGGCCCUCGUGUCCCUCCGGUCCCCGCCGGCGACGGCCACCGCGGCUGCGGCGACGCCGGGCCUGUGGCGCGGCAUGGCCCUGCCCGCGGCGCGGCACCGUACAAAGAACGCGGCCCGCGCCCGCCGCCGUGCCUUUAAAGGCGGCAGCCUGAGAUUUAAGGUGUCCCCUGAGUGGCAUCCUCCGCACCCGGCCCCAUGGAGGGCGCGGGGCUUCGGCACGCACGCCGCGGCUCCCGGGCCUGUGUGCACGCGCGGGGCCCGGGGACUAGCGGCGAGGUGGAUCGAGAGAGAGGGCGGGGAGAGGCUGAACUGUGAAGAGUGUGGCCCCAGAACCAUGUCUACUCGGGAGUCCUUUAACCCGGAAAGUUAUGAGUUGGACAAGAGCUUCCGCCUAACCAGGUUUACAGAACUGAAAGGCACAGGCUGCAAAGUGCCCCAAGAUGUCUUGCAGAAAUUGCUGGAAUCUUUACAAGAGAACCACUUCCAAGAAGAUGAGCAGUUUCUGGGAGCUGUUAUGCCACGGCUUGGCAUUGGGAUGGAUACUUGCGUCAUUCCUUUGAGGCAUGGUGGUCUUUCCUUGGUUCAAACCACAGAUUACAUUUAUCCGAUCGUUGACGACCCUUACAUGAUGGGCAGGAUAGCAUGUGCUAAUGUCCUCAGUGACCUCUAUGCAAUGGGCGUCACCGAGUGUGACAAUAUGCUGAUGCUCCUUGGAGUCAGUAAUAAAAUGACUGACAGGGAAAGGGAUAAAGUGAUACCGCUAAUUAUACAGGGUUUUAAAGAUGCGGCAGAGGAAGCGGGGACCUCUGUAACAGGGGGCCAAACAGUGUUAAACCCCUGGAUUGUUCUAGGAGGAGUCGCCACAACUGUCUGCCAGCCCAAUGAAUUUAUCAUGCCAGAUAAUGCAGUACCAGGGGAUGUGCUGGUCUUGACAAAACCCCUGGGGACACAAGUUGCGGUUGCUGUGCACCAGUGGCUGGAUAUUCCUGAAAAGUGGAAUAAAAUCAAGCUAGUGGUCACCCAGGAAGAUGUAGAGCUGGCGUACCAGGAAGCAAUGAUGAACAUGGCGCGGCUCAACAGGACAGCUGCAGGCCUUAUGCACACGUUCAAUGCUCACGCAGCCACUGACAUCACAGGCUUUGGGAUUCUGGGCCAUGCACAGAACCUGGCCAAGCAACAGAGGAACGAGGUGUCAUUUGUGAUUCACAACCUUCCUGUGCUGGCCAAGAUGGCAGCUGUGAGCAAAGCCUGUGGAAACAUGUUCGGCCUUAUGCAUGGGACCUGCCCGGAGACAUCAGGAGGCCUGCUCAUCUGUUUACCACGUGAGCAAGCAGCUCGGUUCUGUGCAGAGAUAAAGUCCCCCAAAUACGGUGAAGGCCACCAAGCGUGGAUUAUUGGGAUUGUGGAGAAGGGCAACCGCACAGCCAGAAUCAUCGACAAGCCUCGGAUUAUUGAAGUCGCACCCCAAGUCACCACGCAGAACGUGAACCCCACACCUGGUGCCGCCUCCUAAUCUAGACAGAGCCAGCUACUGGAUUUUGUUUUUAAAUAGAUCUAUUUCUUUAUCAUCACUUCAAUUAAAGACUAAGAACACCACAAAUCUCAUUGUGUCUACACAUCUGGUGACCCUAGGUCGGUUUGUGAGUGGAUGCAAUUAAUAAAAUGAAAUCCAUGGCCUUCUUUUCCUGUUACAUUAACUGAAGAUGCACCCAACCUCGAGGCAGCUUCUGAGUUGAGAAUGAUAUUGUUAUCCAUACUGUUGAUUCAGUUUGAAUCUUUAGAUGCGUAUCUCUUGCCGCAUAGGCGCUUUCUAAAGGUGCUUCCCACCCCAGACAUACUGAGAGCACUGUCACCGGGCAGCCCCUGUCUUCUCCUUUUCUAUUUCAGGGUCUCGGUUGACAUUCUAGAAAGACAGAAUUGGGGCUUCCUUAUCUUUUAACUAUGAAGCAGCUGGGGACUCCCAUCGAUAAGCACAAGGGCACUGGGUCCUCAAGCACCUUCUUCAGUAGAGAAAAGCGCCACUUCUCCAGGUCACAAUGCUUCCUGCUAACAGGCCCCAAAGCUGCACUUUGUAAACUUAACCCAGCCUCACUCCUCAACACAGAAAACCAGGAACCUGCCACUGGGCAAACGGAUUCCCUGAAAGGAAGAGGCCGCAGUGUGUCCUUCAGGAGCCCAGGACCUCCUGUAUCCACCUACAGCUGGAACUGAAGCCACCAAGCAUGGCCCUGAGCAGUGGAAGCUGUCACAGGAGGACACUAACUGGACACUUUAUAGGAAUCUAUAUGAUGUCGGUCCUCGAAAGUACACACCAGUGGUCUGCAAAAUAAAAUGUGUUGGAAUCCUUUGAGUGCAGAAAACAUACUGUUGGGCUUGUUUCUGUUUUGUUUCCUCACGUAGGUGAAAUCAAAGCUAAUUCUAUGUAUGGUCUGCCCCCAGAGCUUGUACUUUUCUUGGUGGCAAGCCUGUUGAGAUGAAGUUUGAUGGAUAAUACCCUGAGUUGUCUUUAAAGGUUCAUAUCAAAAGAAAAUGCUGGGGACUUAAGGGGUCCGUGGACCCCUUGUGUUUUCAGAGUGCUCAGAAACCUGCAUGUUGGAAUCACCCAGGCAUUUAUCAAGAGACAUUCCUGCCCUUUCCCCAGACCCACAGAAUCAGUAGUUCUGGCUGUGGAGCCAGAUAAUCGGCCUUCAAAAUGAGCUCUUUAGGGCUUUGUACGUUAAAGCUUGAGACCCACUAAUCUCGAAAGGAAUGCUGGCGGGUAGUGUAGAAAGUGGGGCUCUCAGGGCUCUUUGUAGUCUUGGCCUUUCUAUUUCAUGUGCCUGACCUGUGACCCAACAACACUGUGUGUGUGUGUGUGUAACUAGAAAGUUCCUUGACUCAAGUGUCUCACUGGGUUCAGUUCCUGAGUUUGGCAAAGUCUAUGUGGAACUCUUAAAUGUAUCCAGCAGUCACUAUUAUCUGAUUUCUGGUACCAGUCUAAAACCACACUGGACACUGUUCAUCUUGGAAAUCUGUAAGUUCUACGAUGAAUGUUGCACCCCUAAUAGUUGGGUAGGAUAAGUAGGAGUACUGAUUAUACCUGGAGAAGCUGGACCCUACUAGAGUCAAUUCCGCUCAUAGAUCCAGAGUUUUUGCAAAGGAAUGUCAAAGUUUAGCUGGUUAUUUCCACAGGCUAGGUUGAAACUAAUUGUUUCUAAGAGAAAAAUGUAAUAACAUACUUGUUCUUUUUGGCUCAGUAUUUUGAAAUAUCUUAGCCUUUCUUAGAAGUUCUGUAUGAGUUAUAAUGAAUUAUGUGGAAGUGUUUUGAUCUGAUUAUAUACAUGUAUGAGCGAAACGUUUGCAGUCUGAAUUCAGCAUUGCUUUUAAAAGUGUCCUGUCUUGAGUUGGUAAGAUGGCUCAGUGAGUACAAGGUGCUUCCCUCAAGCCUGAUGACGUGAGUUCCAUCCCCGGACCCCACAUGAAGGGAAAGCUCAUCUCCACAUGCACACUGUGGCAUGUACUCACACACUUAACAAUAAAUACAAUCUAAAGUAUUUUAAAUGUCAGAGUUCUAGAUCUUUGUCUUACUCUGUAGAGACAGGAAUAUUUUAUUUCGAUCUAUUUUAUUUUUAGAUAGGUGUUAGAGAGACCUGAUGAUGAACGUGCACACACCACUGGAGCUGCUCUUUUCCACAUUGAUCAGGCAGGCACAGCAAUCUCUGCUCCCAACAUUUGUGCCUUCUUUUCUCAUUAGGAAUCCACAUAAGAGUCACAGUCGUGAAACACCAGGGACCAUGAUGAGAAUCCAGAAUCCUGCCAAGAGUGGAGCACAAGCAUGUUUUGCCUUUGUAAAUCUGUCUUGAAUGAAAGGGUGUGGGUGGAUGAAACCAGCCCUGAAUCAAUGGAGUUGGGCAACACUUUCCGGGCAUCUAGGCAUAGUCAUGAACCCCUGGAAGUCAAGCUUGCUGAACCUGAGAGUGAUUGUGGUUUGCUCAGUGAGAAUGGGGUACAUAGGUCUUGUCUGUUCUCUGUAAGGUUUCCUAUACUUGACAGUCCUCAGAUGCCAAAACUGUUGGUUGUCCUUGAUAGGGAGUUUAAAUGCCCAGGAGAAAGGCAUGUAAUGAAGCCCAUCAAACUCAAUGGAACUGGGCCUGAUAACAGGGCUGUAAUCCCAUAUACUCAGGAGGCUGACACAAAAGGACCACAAGUUCAAAGUCAGCCAGGGCAACCUAAAGAGGCCCUGCUCUGCUCUCUUGGGGGUGUAGUUCAGUGGUAGAGUACUUGCCUAGCAUGCACAAGGCCCCAGGUUUAGUCCACAGUAUUAGCAAAAGCCAAACUUCCGUGAAAGAAAACAAAAAUUUGCUAUGGUUCCUGGAUUAUGGAAAAGGCUGAUAUAGCUUCCAUUAUUGUGUUUCAGGAAUAAAAAUACAUGUACAUGGAAAUAUAUAGGAUGUAGUGUUUAUCAUCCAGGCACAUUUUGUAUAGUUUUAAAACAAAAUUAUAUAAAAUUUGAUGUCU